GUGUUUCUAAGACCCUAAAGGAUGUUUUCCCACAACAUGCUAACACAUCAUAUGAAACAGAGAAAACACUGACAAAUGUUUAAGUAUAUUUUUUGUCUAGUGGAGAAUAUAAUCUAAGAAACCCACAAGAUUUUGUUUGUUUGUUUUUUUGAGAUGGAGUCUCGCUCUUCUGCCAGGCUAGAGGGCAGUGGCGCGAUCUCGGCUCACUGCAACCUCUGCCUCCUGGGUUCAAGUGAUUCUCCUGCCUCAGCCUCCUGAGUAGCGGGGACUACAGUUUAUAGCCUCAAGAGGCAUCUCACACACAUCCGGACCAGAG
This 316-nucleotide long non-coding RNA is filed under the name Homo sapiens (human). RNAcentral describes it as "LHRI_LNC1456.1". The record is from RNAcentral. Lineage: Eukaryota; Metazoa; Chordata; Mammalia; Primates; Hominidae.